This 464-nucleotide ribosomal RNA is filed under the name Vreelandella stevensii. RNAcentral describes it as "partial 16S ribosomal RNA". It matches the Rfam family "Bacterial small subunit ribosomal RNA", at positions 338 to 795 of the family's 1533-position model. The record is from RNAcentral. Lineage: Bacteria; Pseudomonadati; Pseudomonadota; Gammaproteobacteria; Oceanospirillales; Halomonadaceae.
CCUACGGGUGGCAGCAGUGGGGAAUAUUGGACAAUGGGCGAAAGCCUGAUCCAGCCAUGCCGCGUGUGUGAAGAAGGCCUUCGGGUUGUAAAGCACUUUCAGUGGGGAAGAAAGCCUUGGGGCUAAUACCCUCGAGGAAGGACAUCACCCACAGAAGAAGCACCGGCUACUCCGUGCCAGCAGCCGCGGUAAUACGGAGGGUGCGAGCGUUAAUCGGAAUUACUGGGCGUAAAGCGCGCGUAGGCGGUCUGAUAAGCCGGUUGUGAAAGCCCCGGGCUCAACCUGGGAACGGCAUCCGGAACUGUCAGGCUAGAGUGCAGGAGAGGAAGGUAGAAUUCCCGGUGUAGCGGUGAAAUGCGUAGAGAUCGGGAGGAAUACCAGUGGCGAAGGCGGCCUUCUGGACUGACACUGACGCUGAGGUGCGAAAGCGUGGGUAGCAAACAGGAUUAGAUACCCGAGUAGUC